Molecule: ribosomal RNA, 204 nt
Filed under: Bolbitius sp.
Lineage: Eukaryota; Fungi; Basidiomycota; Agaricomycetes; Agaricales; Bolbitiaceae
Description: partial large subunit ribosomal RNA
Rfam family: Eukaryotic large subunit ribosomal RNA
Source: RNAcentral
AGUAACGGCGAGUGAAGCGGGAAAAGCUCAAAUUUAAAAUCUGGUAGUCUUUGGCUGCCCGAGUUGUAAACUAGAGAAGUGUUAUCCGUAUUGGACCAUGUAAAAGUCUCCUGGAAUGGAGCAUCAUAGAGGGUGAGAAUCCCGUCUUUGACAUGGACUACCAGUGCUUUGUGGUGCGCUCUCAAAGAGUCGAGUUGUUUGGGA